Molecule: ribosomal RNA, 693 nt
Filed under: uncultured Verrucomicrobium sp.
Lineage: Bacteria; Pseudomonadati; Verrucomicrobiota; Verrucomicrobiia; Verrucomicrobiales; Verrucomicrobiaceae
Description: bacterial SSU rRNA
Rfam family: Bacterial small subunit ribosomal RNA
Source: RNAcentral
GAAAGCGAGCUACUGGACAAUUCCUGACGCUGAGGCUCGAAGGCUAGGGUAGCGAAAGGGAUUAGAUACCCCUGUAGUCCUAGCAGUAAACGGUGUACGCUUGGUGUGAGGGGAAUCGACCCCCCUUGUGCCGGAGCUAACGCGUUAGGCGUGCCGCCUGGGAAGUACGGUCGCAAGACUAAAACUCAAAGAAAUUGACGGGGACCCGCACAAGCGGUGGAGUAUGUGGCUUAAUUCGAUGCAACGCGAAGAACCUUACCAAGGCUUGACAUGCAUCUCUAAACACGUGAAAGCGUGUGACCCUUCGGGGAAUUUGCACAGGUGCUGCAUGGCCGUCGUCAGCUCGUGUCGUGAGAUGUUGGGUUAAGUCCCGCAACGAGCGCAACCCUUGUGAUUAGUUGCCAGCACGUUAAGGUGGGAACUCUAGUCAGACUGCCCAGAUCAACUGGGAGGAAGGUGGGGACGACGUCAGGUCAGUAUGGCCCUUACGCCUUGGGCUGCACACGUACUACAAUGCCCAGCACAAUGAGAACCGAUACCGCGAGGUGGAGGAAAUCUGUAAAACUGGGCUCAGUUCGGAUUGGAGGCUGCAACUCGCCUCCAUGAAGUUGGAAUCGCUAGUAAUGGGGCAUCAUCUACGGCCCCGUGAAUACGUUCCCGGGUCUUGUACACACCGCCCGUCACAUCAUGGAA